GACGAACGCUGGCGGCGUGCCUAACACAUGCAAGUCGAGCGGAGUCGAUCGACGGAAGCCUUCGGGCGGAAGAUGGUUGACUUAGCGGCGGAUGGGUGAGUAACGCGUGGGCAACCUGCCUCGAAGACCGGGAUAACAGUCCGAAAGGGCUGCUAAUACCGGAUGUGGUCAAGGAUCCGCAUGGAUUUUUGAUUAAAGGGGAAACCCGUUUCGAGAUGGGCCCGCGUCCUAUCAGCUAGUUGGUGAGGUAAAAGCUCACCAAGGCGACGACGGGUAGCCGGCCUGAGAGGGUGACCGGCCACACUGGAACUGAGACACGGUCCAGACUCCUACGGGGGCAGCAGUGGGGAAUAUUGCACAAUGGGCGAAAGCCUGAUGCAGCGACGCCGCGUGAGGGAUGACGGCCUUCGGGUUGUAAACCGUCUUCUAGCAGGAAGAAGCGAAAGUGACGGUACUGCAGAAGAAGACACCGGCUAACUACGUGCCAGCAGCCGCGAAUCAUACUCG
This 507-nucleotide ribosomal RNA is filed under the name uncultured bacterium. Its description in RNAcentral is "bacterial SSU rRNA". It matches the Rfam family "Bacterial small subunit ribosomal RNA", at positions 28 to 529 of the family's 1533-position model. The record is from RNAcentral.